ACAGACAGGAUAGAGGGUGAGGGGGAGAGAGACACAGCGAAAGCAGGGAAAGAGUUGAUUUGGAAACUAGUUGGAGGAGGGAGAAGGGAGGGGAAAGAGUGAGGAGGUACGCAAACUCUCUGAGAAAAGCAGGAGAAAGUGAACACUCUCACAGGAGGAACAGUUGUGGUCAUAAAAAAGAAACGGCUGCUGAUCUGCUCAAAGAGUCAUAUUACGUCCAAACAUCCAGUGCUGCUCUCUCUCUCUCUCGCAGUCUGAACUGAAGCAGGCUAAUUAGAUGAAGAGCAGAAGACCUGCAGGCACCACAAACUAACUUAUGAGAAGAGAGAAAGAAGAGGGGGAGGGAGAAAACAAGCAGGAGUAAAAGUCAGUGAAACGUUCUGGGGACUGUUUACUUCUGCCUUUGGCUCUGCUGUCAGAGAAGAGUUAGCAAGUGGAAGUAGUGGCACACAUUUGCUAAAGAGCGGAAGGACAAAGACAAGAGGUUGCAGUGUGAAGAGGGUCAGCAGCAGAGGCCUCACAUUCUUCAGCCUCACUCCAGCAGGUGCUUGGAAUCAGCUGGAGGAGCUGCUAUAAACAAAAAGAAUAUACACAUAUAUUCGCCCAGGGUAAAAGUAUCUGUAUUUAGGCACUUAUGAUGAAAUAAUGCAGUGUUUGGGGGUAUUAAGUGUUAAAAGCACACUCUGUCAUGUGGAACUGGCUGUCAAAAACAAAUAUAACAGGAAAUCCGUUAUGAACUGCAGACUGAUGUUUCAUGACUAAAGCAACAGAACAUGUCAAGUAUGACAACCACAAAAAAAAGAAGAAAAAAAACUAUAUACCGGUAUAUAAACAUGUGGUGGCACUUCCUGAUCUGAUAAAGAAUAAGAGUCGGUAGAAAUUCUGAAUAAUCACAUAGUUUUACUUAGAGUUACGCACACAUUAAACUAAACAGAUUUAAUAGAUUAGUACAGUACAGCAUAUGUGUGUGUGCAUCACUAAUAAACAACAAGUAAGGCUUUAAUAUGCUUUAAUCUUUAAUAUGUACAGUUUGCAGAUCAUCGUCAUCAGUUUUGACGGUAGAUGUGGUGUUCCACAGGGUUCUGCAUUGGAUCAAAAAUUCAUUAUUUAGUAUAUUAAUGAUAUAAGUGCAGUGUCUAAUAUAUGAAAUGGUUGAAAAUGACAUGUUAAAUCUGCAUAGGUACUGAAUUUGUUUAUGCCAAUGAAAAAAGGGGAUAUUAGUAUGUUAAAUAUAUCUAAAAUCUCUGUGUACACCACUAUGUGGUUGUACAGUUACUGAAAGACCAUUCUAAAUCAGUAGUUAAUUAGUCAUCCUUGGAAAUGAACAUACACCAAGAUAUAUGGUGUAAUACACAACACAAAGACAGAAAAGCAUCAGAGCAAACAGUUGAAACUAAAAGAAACAACACGGAUAUACAAAACAUUGCAUCCAUACCGGUACAUAAAAUAGUCAAAUGGUAAAAUAGAUAAAUUGAUAAAUCCAGUAAUCCAUGACAAACUUUUUUUAAACAUUUUUGUGACUUUGUUGCCUAGCAACAAACAGCAGGGCGUCUUGGAGCUCUACUGAGGCCUUUUUCUUUUGGAAAAUCAUUCAUAUCAUUUUUUCAACUCCUGCACCCAGAAGU
This is a long non-coding RNA of Pundamilia nyererei, 1625 nucleotides long. RefSeq lists it as uncharacterized. The record is from RefSeq and is a predicted model, not a curated record. The transcript is spliced from 3 exons. NCBI's taxonomy places the organism in Eukaryota, Metazoa, Chordata, Actinopteri, Cichliformes, Cichlidae.